This 352-nucleotide transfer RNA is filed under the name Xanthomonas hortorum pv. gardneri. Its description in RNAcentral is "partial 16S-23S ribosomal RNA intergenic spacer". The stretch from base 97 to 170 matches the Rfam family "tRNA". The record is from RNAcentral. Lineage: Bacteria; Pseudomonadati; Pseudomonadota; Gammaproteobacteria; Lysobacterales; Lysobacteraceae.
GGGGCCUUAGCUCAGCUGGGAGAGCACCUGCUUUGCAAGCAGGGGGUCGUCGGUUCGAUCCCGACAGGCUCCACCAUAUUGAGUGAAAAAGACUUCGGGUCUGUAGCUCAGGUGGUUAGAGCGCACCCCUGAUAAGGGUGAGGUCGGUAGUUCGAGUCUACCCAGACCCACCACUCUGAAUGUAGUGCACACUUAAGAAUUUAUAUGGAUCAGCGUUGAGGCUGAUACAUGUUCUUUUAUAACUUGUGACGUAGCGAGCGUUUGAGAUAUCUAUCUAAACGUGUCGUUGAGGCUAAGGCGGGGACUUCGAGUCCCUAAAUAAUUGAGUCGUAUGUUCGCGUUGGUGGCUUUG